RNAcentral lists this long non-coding RNA (1029 nucleotides) under Rattus norvegicus (Norway rat). Its description in RNAcentral is "long non-coding RNA NONRATT031078". The record is from RNAcentral. Lineage: Eukaryota; Metazoa; Chordata; Mammalia; Rodentia; Muridae.
CUGACCAUCUCCUCUGAGCCAAUGCUCUCAGUGUUCCAAACUCAUUAACCAAAUUCUCCCCAUGAAUGCCUUGAAACUUGCCAGGCUUUUCUCCCAGGAUCUGGGAAAGCGUGGGAUCACCCCCUGGCCUUUGGAUCCUCCCCAUAUACUUUCUAACUCUUUGGGGGGGAGGACAGGGAUGGGACCUCUGGCCCCAGCUUGUUAGUCACCCACUACAAUCAACUGCCAAAGGUGCUACUGUGUCCCCAGAAUCCAGUGGGAGAGACCCAAGCCUCUUUUUGCUGAGGAAUUUGUUGCCAUCCAUCCUUGGGAGCCAUUUGGGAAUUGUGAGAAGGAAGGCCAAAGGAGACCAGGAGCCUUGUUCUGCAUCGAAGCUCCUGAGGGCUCUGUGGCACCCCAUCAUGUGAUUGGUUAACUAUCUGCUUCCUUUUUCCUUUCCUUUUAUUGUCUCUCUACUCCCUCGUCUCCAUUUUCUUCCCCUCUAUUCCUUUUUAUUACUGUCAUAGACACAUAGGUGCUUGGAGAAAGGAAGGACCCAGAGCUUGGGCCAAUCUACUUCAUUUUGGCCCAGACCAUCCCUAAUAUUAGCAUUAAUACUGCUCACCUCAGGCUGAGCUACAUCUCACUUCUGGGCUCGAACUGAUACAGACUGGAAGAGCAGACUAUCACAUAGGGAUAGGACCUUAAACACUAAAGAGUUCCAUGUCCCACUCACUGAUUUUGACAGAUUAACCAAGAGGCCUUUCCAGGUUCCCAUCCUCGUAGCCACCUGUCAAAUGUGAAGAAACUCCUCUCAUCUCAUCAAACACAGGAGGAAUGAUGACAGUGAACUGGCACUGGAGAAGGUGCUAUGGUUGACGACUUGGGGAAGGACCAACUCCUCCAUCUUUCAUUUUUCAUAACAGAUCAGGUUGUAACUCUCAGCUACUGCUCCAGUGCCUGUCUGUAUGCCAAUAUGCUCCCUACCAUGACGAUAAUGGACUAAGCCUCUGAAACUCUACACAAGCCCACAAUUAAAUGCGUUUCUUU